RNAcentral lists this ribosomal RNA (483 nucleotides) under uncultured bacterium. RNAcentral describes it as "partial 16S ribosomal RNA". It matches the Rfam family "Bacterial small subunit ribosomal RNA", at positions 30 to 506 of the family's 1533-position model. The record is from RNAcentral.
AUUGAACGCUGGCGGCAGGCCUAACACAUGCAAGUCGAGCGGAUGAAGGGAGCUUGCUCCUGGAUUCAGCGGCGGACGGGUGAGUAAUGCCUAGGAAUCUGCCUGGUAGUGGGGGAUAACGUCCGGAAACGGGCGCUAAUACCGCAUACGUCCUGAGGGAGAAAGUGGGGGAUCUUCGGACCUCACGCUAUCAGAUGAGCCUAGGUCGGAUUAGCUAGUUGGUGGGGUAAAGGCCUACCAAGGCGACGAUCCGUAACUGGUCUGAGAGGAUGAUCAGUCACACUGGAACUGAGACACGGUCCAGACUCCUACGGGAGGCAGCAGUGGGGAAUAUUGGACAAUGGGCGAAAGCCUGACCCAGCCAUGCCGCGUGUGUGAAGAAGGUCUUCGGAUUGUAAAGCACUUUAAGUUGGGAGGAAGGGCAGUAAGUUAAUACCUUGCUGUUUGGACGUUACCAACAGAAUAAGCACCGGCUAACUUCGU